Molecule: ribosomal RNA, 497 nt
Filed under: uncultured bacterium
Lineage: Bacteria
Description: partial 16S ribosomal RNA
Rfam family: Bacterial small subunit ribosomal RNA
Source: RNAcentral
GAUGAACGCUGGCGGCGUGCCUAAUACAUGCAAGUCGAGCGAACAGACGAGGAGCUUGCUCCUCUGACGUUAGCGGCGGACGGGUGAGUAACACGUGGAUAACCUACUUCUAAGACUGGGAUAACUUCGGGAAACCGGAGCUAAUACCGGAUAAUAUAUUGUACCGCAUGGUUCAAUAGUGAAAGACGGUUUUGCUGUCUCUUAUAGAUGGAUCCGCGCCGCAUUAGCUAGUUGGUAAGGUAACGGCUUACCAAGGCAACGAUGCGUAGCCGACCUGAGAGGGUGAUCAGCCACACUGGAACUGAGACACGGUCCAGACUCCUACGGGAGGCAGCAGUAGGGAAUCUUCCGCAAUGGGCGAAAGCUUGACGGAGCAACGCCGCGUGAGUGAUGAAGGUCUUCGGAUCGUAAAACUCUGUUAUUAGGGAAGAACAAAUGUGUAAGUAACUAUGCACGUCUUGACGGUACCUAAUCAGAAAGCCACGGCUAACUACGUG